This 551-nucleotide ribosomal RNA is filed under the name Physalaemus olfersii (Atlantic forest dwarf frog). RNAcentral describes it as "partial large subunit ribosomal RNA". It matches the Rfam family "Bacterial large subunit ribosomal RNA", at positions 1846 to 2597 of the family's 2925-position model. The record is from RNAcentral. Lineage: Eukaryota; Metazoa; Chordata; Amphibia; Anura; Leptodactylidae.
UAAGAGGUCUAGCCUGCCCAGUGACUCAAUUCAACGGCCGCGGUAUCCUAACCGUGCGAAGGUAGCGUAAUCACUUGUUCUUUAAAUGAGGACUAGUAUGAAUGGCAUCACGAGGGUUAUACUGUCUCCCUUUUUUAAUCAGUGAAACUAAUCUUCCCGUGAAGAAGCGGGAAUAGAAUUAUAAGACGAGAAGACCCUAUGGAGCUUUAAACUAAGCAACAACUGUUCUAAAUUACUCCCUCUUCAGAGUUAAAAUUAUAUCUUAACAUUAUGAUUGCUAGUUUUUGGUUGGGGUGACCGCGGAGCAUAAAACAACCUCCACAAUGAAAGAAACUUAAUUUCUUAACCCAGAACUACAACUCUAAGUAUCAAAAAUUUGACAUACAUUGAUCCAAUAUAUUGAUCAACGAACCAAGUUACCCUAGGGAUAACAGCGCAAUCCACUUCAAGAGCCCAUAUCGACAAGUGGGUUUACGACCUCGAUGUUGGAUCAGGGUAUCCCAGUGGUGCAGCCGCUACUAAAGGUUCGUUUGUUCAACGAUUAAAACCCU